GACGAACGCUGGCGGCGUGCUUAACACAUGCAAGUCGAACGGAAAGGCCUCUUUCGGGGGGUACUCGCGUGGCGAACGGGUGAGUAACACGUGAGUAACCUGCCCUUGACUUUGGGAUAACUUCAGGAAAAUGGGGCUAUUACCGGAUAGGAGAUCCUGCUGCACGGUGGGGGUUGGAAAGUUUCGGCGGUUGGGGGUGGACUCGCGGCUUAUCAGCUUGGUGGUGGGGGAGUGGCUUACCAAGGCUUUGACGGGUAGCCGGCCUGUGAGGGGGACCGGCCACAUUGGGACUGAGAUACGGCCCAGACUCCUACGGGAGGCAGCAGUGGGGAAUAUUGCACAAUGGGUGGAAGCCUGAUGCAGCAACGCCGUGGGCGGGAUGACGGCCUUCGGGUUGGAAACCGCUUUCGCUCAUGACGAAGCUUUGUGUGACGGUAGUGGGUAAAGAAGCACCGGCUAACUACGUG
Molecule: ribosomal RNA, 467 nt
Filed under: uncultured bacterium
Lineage: Bacteria
Description: partial 16S ribosomal RNA
Rfam family: Bacterial small subunit ribosomal RNA
Source: RNAcentral